UGCCAGAUUCAUUGAUAACUCAGGCAGUGAC
RNAcentral lists this non-coding RNA (31 nucleotides) under Mus musculus (house mouse). The record is from RNAcentral. Lineage: Eukaryota; Metazoa; Chordata; Mammalia; Rodentia; Muridae.